UUCCAGCUCCAAUAGCGUAUAUUAAAGUUGUUGCAGUUAAAAAGCUCGUAGUUGGAUUUCUGAGGGGGUGCCAAUGUCCGCAUGUUGCGUGUGCAGCGGGGCCCCCUCAUCCUUCUGUUAACGUUUCUGAUAUUCAUUUAUUGGUCUCGGGCUCAGAUAUUUUACCUUGAGAAAAUUAGAGUGUUCUAGGCAGGCUUGCGCCGGAAUACAUUAGCAUGGAAUAAUAGAAUAGGACUUUAGUCUCCUUUGUUGGUUUGAGGGAUUGAAGUAAUGAUUAAUAGGGAUAGUUGGGGGCAUUAGUAUUUAAUUGUCAGAGGUGAAAUUCUCGGAUUUGUUAAAGACUAACUUAUGCGAAAGCAUUUGCCAAGGAUGUUUUCAUUAAUCAAGAACGAAAGUUAGGGGAUCAAAGACGAUCAGAUACCGUCCUAGUCUUAACCAUAAACUAUGCCGACUAGGGAUCGGAGGCGCGCCUUAUCCGCCUUCGGCACCUUAUGAGAAAUCAAAGUCUUUGGGUUCUGGGGGGGGUAUGGUCGCAAGGCUGAAACUUAAAGGAAUUGACGGAAGGGCACCACCAGGAGUGGAGCUUGCGGCUCAAUUUGACUCAACACGGGAAAACUUACCAGGUCCAGACAUAGUGAGGAUUGGCAGAUUGAUAGCUCUUUCUUGAUUCUAUGGGUGGUGGUGCAUGGCCGUUCUUAGUUGGUGGAGUGAUUUGUCUGGUUAAUUCCGUUAACGAACGAGACCUUAGCCUACUAACUAGUCGCCUCGUUGCUAAGCGGGCGCGACUUCUUAGAGGGACUUUGUGACUAAACACAAGGAAGUUUGAGGCAAUAACAGGUCUGUGAUGCCCUUAGAUGUCCUGGGCCGCACGCGUGCUACACUGAUGCAUACAGCGAGUACUCCCCAGCUCCGUGAGGCUGCUGGUAAUCAGCAAUAUGCAUCGUGAUGGGGAUAGAUCUUUGGAAUUAUAGAUCUUGAACGAGGAAUUCCUAGUAAGCGCAAGUCAUUACCUUGCGCUGAUUAAGUCCCUGCCCUU
This 1036-nucleotide ribosomal RNA is filed under the name uncultured eukaryote. RNAcentral describes it as "SSU rRNA". It matches the Rfam family "Eukaryotic small subunit ribosomal RNA", at positions 583 to 1660 of the family's 1831-position model. The record is from RNAcentral.